AGUGAACGCUGGCGGUAGGCCUAACACAUGCAAGUCGAACGGCAGCACAGUAAGAGCUUGCUCUUACGGGUGGCGAGUGGCGGACGGGUGAGGAAUACAUCGGAAUCUACUUUUUCGUGGGGGAUAACGUAGGGAAACUUACGCUAAUACCGCAUACGACCUACGGGUGAAAGCAGGGGAUCUUCGGACCUUGCGCGAUUGAAUGAGCCGAUGUCGGAUUAGCUAGUUGGCGGGGUAAAGGCCCACCAAGGCGACGAUCCGUAGCUGGUCUGAGAGGAUGAUAGGCCCACCGGGAAUUGGGAAGCGGGCCAGACCCCAACGGGGGGCCGAAGGGGGGAAAAUGGGAAAAGGGGCGCAACCCUGACCCGGCAAAUCCGGGUGGGUGAAGAAGCCCUUGGGGUUGUAAAGCCCUUUUGUAGGGAAAAAAAAGCAGCAGGUUAAACCCCCGUUGUUCUGACGGUACCAAAAAAAUGAGCACCGGCGAGCUGCGU
Molecule: ribosomal RNA, 491 nt
Filed under: uncultured bacterium
Lineage: Bacteria
Description: partial 16S ribosomal RNA
Rfam family: Bacterial small subunit ribosomal RNA
Source: RNAcentral